Cyanistes caeruleus (blue tit) is the source of this 1363-nucleotide non-coding RNA. Lineage: Eukaryota; Metazoa; Chordata; Aves; Passeriformes; Paridae. The record is from RefSeq and is a predicted model, not a curated record.
CAGCCGGCUCUGAGCGGGGGCCGUGUGGGCAUGGUCCGUAUGGGAAGCGCUGCUCUGGGUUUCCCCAGAGCUCCAGGCUGUGCAGUGCUUGUUUCCCAGGUUCGGGGUCCCUUGAUCCCAGGACGGGAGAUUGGGGGUCACCUCAGCGCGCCCGUUCGUGGGAAAAGGCGAGCUCUGAGUCAGCUGUGCUGGGGGAAAUCCAGCGCUGCUCGGACCCCUCUCGGUUGUUUUCCUAAAUGCACCUCUGACUCCUUGCAGAGCCCAUGCCCGGGGGCUCAGGUGGUGGUGGUGAUUAUCCUGGACCCGUAGCACUUCUUCUACAGCUGGAAUGAAUCUAACAGCUCCUCUGCAGAUUACUGCUGUCCCUGUUCCCUGGAACAUCAUUUGACUCUCUACCCUAAAGCUUUUUAUCACAUCAGUUACUCCAAAAAUUGACGGAACAUCAUGGCAUUCUAACUUGUGGAUAACAAGUGUCCUUAGAGCACAGUUAAUGUGUCUGGGCCUAAGGGAUCACUCCUGUGCUCCUGGGGUUAAUUGCAGAUUUAGCAACAGAAAUCAAGUCCCAUAAGCUUGAUUUAUAGUAUGUUGAGAGUAUUUUUCUUUCUCCUAUUUUUCCCUUAACACUUGUCCAUGGUACUUAGCUCAGAGGGAGCAUGUGUUUUGUUGUAAGCGGCACCAGAGAAAGGUGUUGUGCAAAUGAACACAAAUCUGCUGCAAGAGGCUGCAGAGCUUGUCUGCCUGGACACCUGCCACAGCAGGUUAGAUCCCUCAGAAAUCUGAUAAUCUUUCUUCAUCCUGGUAAUCUGAACAGCAGCAUCUUGCCAUGUUGUAGGGCUGAGGGAUGAAGUACAUUAGUCUGCUUGGUUGCUGGAAUUCAGAGACUUGUGGGUUUGUAUUCAGAAGUGCAUGUGAAGCCUGAAGAGCAUCUGCUUUUUACACAAACAUCAUUCAAGGCUGGCAGCUGAGACGGCGACCUUGGCUACGAUAUGGAGAUCUCCAAAUGGAGCAGAACUCUCGGCUUUUCUGUCAGACUCCCCUCCAAUCUGUGCUGUUAAUCAAACCCUACAGUAACACUUCUUCUGAAGCAUGAUUUUGGUGAAUUUAUUUAACCUUGUACACGACAGGAAUUGCGCAGGGCAACGUAACAACGUUAACUUGACCCUGAUCUUGGCGGGCUGCUGAAGGAACUGUUCUUGUCAGUACACAGAGCUGGCUGGGAGCUCUGGGAGCAACAGAGCAGGGAAAAGUCAGGAAAAGGGUGCCUUGUCAACUGCUCUCCAGUGCCCUCUCUUUGGAAAUACUGCCAGAGCUUACGUGUUGAAGGUGAAGUAAAUACUAAUAAAGCUGCCGUUAAUUAAAAUUU